This 279-nucleotide unclassified non-coding RNA is filed under the name plant metagenome. Its description in RNAcentral is "partial contains small subunit ribosomal RNA, internal transcribed spacer 1, and 5.8S ribosomal RNA". The record is from RNAcentral.
UUUCCGUAGGUGAACCUGCGGAAGGAUCAUUAUCGAGUUAGGGUCUCUGGCCCGACCUCCAACCCUGUGUCUACUAUACCAUGUUGCUUUGGCGGGCCCGCGUUCGUCGCCGCCCAGGGGUUGACCCCCCUGGGCCCGUGCCCGCCGAUAGCCCCCCCUUAAACUCUUGAUCAACAGGGAAUGUAGGGGUAAAAAAAAAAUCAAGCAAAAAAAUCUCAAAAACGGACCUCUUGGUUGUGGCAUCGAUGAAGAACGGUGCACACUGGGUGCGCGACAGUU